CGUUGUUGCCCGACGCCUAGGAGCUGGCACCGGGCAGGGCUGGGGCACCUGGACUACCCCACACGUGAGCACGGGUGGCACUGCCGCGUCCUGCCACUCCGCUUGCCCCCAUGGCACCCCCCCAAGAAAUUUUUGGGGCGGACACACGGAGGUUUGCUUCCGUCGCCUCUGUCGACGUCUCCUUGUGGGUGGACGCUGUGUUGGCCCGGUGUGCCGCAGGGGACGGUAGGGGUUCUCCUCCUCCUCCUCAGUGUCGCUGUCAGGCCAACCGAGGAGUUCCCCUACCGUCCAUUUCUGCCGUGUCCCUUUGUGGUGGUUCAUUCUGUCACGGUCGUGGGAUGAAGAGGACACAGGCGCAGAGUAGAGUAUCUAUAGUAAAAUGUGAGAAUGCAGUAAUUCCCUGGACCGUAGCUGGUGUCUCUCAGUGUGACAGUGGUCCUCCUCAUCUACCUGUUAACUGAUGCCUACAGAAAGGUACAAGGUAAGAACAGGAAGCCAAAAGAAGAGGAGAGUACCUACAUCUCAUUGGAAACAAAGGACAUGUCUCAAGAUUAUCAAGAGUAUCAAGUUAUGUCCAAGCGUCCAAUUUGACUGAGCCUGUGAUCUUCACUCCAAUCUUAAACCUGUGCUGAGAAAUAUUUGGUAUAAAUAAUUGCAAAAGGUACAUGAAUUGCACUUAAGUUCUGCUGUUUAACUUUGGAUAAACUACGUGAAUAAGCCUGAGAAACUUUUUAUAUACUUUUUGUAUGUAACUAUGCUCAGUUACAAACUUGGAACAAUUACAGUAUAUUUGCUUAUUGCAUCUUCGUACAUCUCUGUAUAUAUUUCUGUACUCAACAUCCAGAAUAUACACCUGCCAAUUCAAUGUCUGCAACUCCCGCGAAUCUCAGAUUGAAAAUGAAAAUGUAUACAUUUAUAUUCUCUACCAUCUACUUAUAUUAUUGUGUUGGAGAAUUGUUCAUUAAUUAAUCUUUAAAUGUUUUCCUGCAUCUAUUUUCUAUAGUGUACAUGUGGAUUUGUUUCAAUCAUUUUUCUGUAUAUUCUGUAACUACUAUACAUAUUAUAUUUUUUCUAAUGAUUUCAGCUGUGGGAGAAUCCCCUCCAAAACUGUGCGACAAUUUUCUAUGCAAUUGUCUU
Molecule: long non-coding RNA, 1137 nt
Organism: Esox lucius (northern pike)
Lineage: Eukaryota; Metazoa; Chordata; Actinopteri; Esociformes; Esocidae
Source: Ensembl